AACGAACGCUGGCGGCAGGCUUAACACAUGCAAGUCGAACGAGAUCUUCGGAUCUAGUGGCAGACGGGUGAGGAACACGUGGGAACAUCCCUUUCAGUUCGGAAUAACGUUGGGAAACUAACGCUAAUACCGGAUACGUCCUUCGGGAGAAAGAUUUAUCGCUGAAAGAUCGGCCCGCGUCUGAUUAGCUAGUUGGUGAGGUAAUGGCUCACCAAGGCUACGAUCAGUAGCUGAUCUGAGAGGAUGAUCAGCCACAUUGGGACUGAUACACGGCCCAAACUCCUACGGGAGGCAGCAGUGGGGAAUAUUGGACAAUGGGCGCAAGCCUGAUCCAGCCAUGCCGCGUGAGUGAUGACGGCCUUCGGGUUGUAAAGCUCUUUUGUCCGGGAAGAUAAUGACUGUACCGGAAGAAUAAGCCCCGGCAAACUUCGUGCCAGCCGCCGCGGUAA
RNAcentral lists this ribosomal RNA (449 nucleotides) under uncultured bacterium. RNAcentral's name for it is "partial 16S ribosomal RNA". It matches the Rfam family "Bacterial small subunit ribosomal RNA", at positions 29 to 523 of the family's 1533-position model. The record is from RNAcentral.